GUGAAUCAUCAAAUUUUUGAACGCAAAUUGCGCUUCCUGGCAUUCCGGGAAGUAUGCCUGUUUGAGGGUCAGUAUUAACAAAAAAUCGGUUUGGUUGAAAAUUGUGACGUUUCCGGAGUGUGGGCUAUCUUAACUUUUUUGGUUAAGGGGAUUAAAAUUGACCUGUUUUGCGCAUUUUUAGAGGUACAUGAAUGUUUUUUUUUUUUCGUCUAUUC
Molecule: unclassified non-coding RNA, 215 nt
Filed under: Glomeraceae sp.
Lineage: Eukaryota; Fungi; Glomeromycota; Glomeromycetes; Glomerales; Glomeraceae
Description: partial contains 5.8S ribosomal RNA and internal transcribed spacer 2
Rfam family: 5.8S ribosomal RNA (bases 1-71)
Source: RNAcentral